Molecule: ribosomal RNA, 484 nt
Filed under: uncultured bacterium
Lineage: Bacteria
Description: partial 16S ribosomal RNA
Rfam family: Bacterial small subunit ribosomal RNA
Source: RNAcentral
AUUGAACGCUGGCGGCAGGCCUAACACAUGCCAGUCGAGCGGAUGAAGGGAGCUUGCUCCUGGAUUCAGCGGCGGACGGGUGAGUAAUGCCUAUGAAUCUGCCUGGUAGUGGGGGAUAACGUCCUGAAACGGGCGCUAAUACCGCAUACGUCCUGAGGGAGAAAGUUGGUGAUCUUCGGACCUCACGCUCUCAGAUGAGCCUAGGUCGGAUUAGCUAGUUGGUGGGGUAAAGGCCUACCAAGGCGACGAUCCGUAACUGGUCUGAGAGGAUGAUCAGUCACACUGGAACUGAGACACGGUCCAGACUCCUAAGGGAGGCAGCAGUGGGGAAUAUUGGACAAUGGGCGAAAGCCUGAUCCAGCCAUGCCGCGUGUGUGAAGAAGGUCUUCGGAUUGUAAAGCACUUUAAGUUGGGAGGAAGGGCAGUAAGUUAAUACCUUGCUGUUUUGACGUUACCAACAGAAUAAGCACCGGCUAACUUCGUG